UGAAAACUAUGAAAACAACUUUACAGACACAGGUGCCGACACUUUGAGUUCAUACAUGCAGUCUAUGACUACAUCUGUUUAAUUCUAAUCUAUUAAAUAAUGUGAUAAAAUUUAAUUUGUUACAAAUAUGUUAAAAACGGUCUUGGUAAAUGGGGAGACAUUUUGUUAGUGUUCAUAUAUGGUUUUUACUUCAGUUAGCAGGAAAACUGUACAGACGGCAUCUUCUUAAUUAGGAUGUAUUUUAAUUUCCAUGCCAUUUCAUAAGGGUUUUAUGCAGAUGAAAUUGGGUUCUGAAGAAAGGACAAAGCAUUCUUUUUUAAAUUAUUUCACUGCUAAGAUGUUUGGUAUAUAAAAUUGUACUUUUUAUGGGUUAUAAAACCAGAAGAAUCUUUUGUGCCAUUCUUAAUCAACAGGGUUUGAUAUGUUGACUCAACCUUAGCAGCUUCAAAUCGUCUGGGAAGAAGGUUUUCCAAAAGCUUUAGGAGUGUGUUCACAUGGAUUUGUUUUAACCAUUAUUCUAGAAGCACAUCUGAGUGGUCAGACACUGAUGUUGGACGAGAAGGUCUGGCUCACAGUCAACGCUUUAAUUUAUCCUAAAGGUAUUAAAGUGUGCUGAAGUUCGGUAUCUAUGAAUGCCAGUCCAUUUCUUCCACAAAGUCCCUCAUCAAGGUCUUUAUGGACAAUUGUUAAUGAUUAGGUCUUCACAGAAUCCACUUCAUGCCUAUCCUACUUUGAAUUAAUUAGAUCAUGGUGCCAAAGUAAUGGCUAGUAGAUCAAAUACUAGAUGUAUUUUGAAUAAAAAAUUCUUAGGUAACAAACAUAUUAACUUGGAAUAAAGAGUAAAUCAAAACCAGAUGCAUCUUGUGUCUAAAAUCAUGUUUCUUUUAACCACGCAAUCUGUAGGAAGGAAGCCAUUGCUGUAAAAGGUAUUUGUGCACAUCAUGUAAUUACAAACACAUGGAUGCAUUAUUUAUUCAUCACACGUCUCCGUUUCCCUGCAUCCUCCCCCGGUCUCCUCAAUGAUCCCCAUAACUGUAGAAAGAUGUGCAUGACGGUUAUAGAACUGCUGAGCAGAUGCACAUAUUUCCACAGCCACCUCAUUAUUGGUAACAUAGUACAUCUAAAUGUGGAAAUUACCAUUCGUCAUGUUUUAGAAGUCCCUGAAGAAUUUCUAAAAAUUGUGUCCAAGUAGAUAUGACCUUCAAAUUUAAACAUGGGAAAAAAAGCAUAGCAAAAUCUACAUAUAGUUUUUAUUUUUAAUAAAUUUCUUUAUUUAACUAUGUUUAUUUAAUAUGGCUCAACUAUACAUAAAAAAAUAUCAAAUAUUAAGAAUAUGUACUUUGCUUUCUCUUGGUGAUGGCAUUUAUUCCGUUAGGCUUCUUGUGAUUAUGUAUAAAAAUAAACAUUUAAAUAACCUGGAUGUGUACAAUGCAUUUAAACCUUAACAUAUUCAAUGUAAUAGUACAAUUUUUAAAAAAGUAAACCAGCUUUAUUACAUAGUCGCCAAUGUGCAAACAUGAAAGAAUGCAUUUCCUGAGUGUGGACCACCCCCAGGCCCGCGAGAUGGAGAAAUGCAUGAUGAAGAUGAGGAGGAGGAAGAAAAGGAGGAGUUUGUAGGAGGAUGGGGUGGGGGUGCCAGCUUUCACUGCUGAGCAGAGACAUCUGGAAGCAUUUACAUCUGCACUAACAGAGUGGCGCAGGCCCAAAAGUUACAUCACUCAAAGAUCUGCACAACCCCCCUCCCUCACCACACAUCCACACAUAUCGGAGUAAAUCCUUAGUUUCAGGAACGAAAUGCACGUGUGGCGGAAAGAGCCGGACAAAGGCAUAAAGUGAACACAGAGUGCGAUCAGAAAGACACUUGUAGAGUUAAAUCCGACUUCCCAAACACCCAGCGGGAGUUGUGAGGACAAGCGCCUACACACUUGUACACACAAUCACCCCCUCCCCUCCGGCCCCCGUAACCCAGUACGAUUUCCUGCAAAUUCCAAAGUCAGAUCCCGGCUGGAACAUUUCAGCUUGACUGCCACGUCAGUUUGCCUACACCAUCCUAGCCCGCUUAUUAUCCAAGCUUUUCCGCAAGAAAGCCGGUGAAAGAAAGAGAAAACGAAGACAAAGAGACAUCUGUUUCAGUUUUUAAUUUGAAUCAGUUCUUUAAUAUUUUUUUAGAUUGCGUUUUUGAUGAAAGAAGACAACGAAGGCUUGAGAGAGCGAGUGUCCUCGUGUAGCGACCUACAGACGCAAUGACCUCUGGGUCCUUCCUCUCAGUCCUUCCCCCCCCACCCAGCCUGCCCAGUGUUCAGACUACCUGUUCCUACAGCUACAGUUGAACAGUAGUCUGCACAUUGGUUAGGCCAGGCUGGGAUGCACACAGCUCCUCACCUCUGAUGACGACAAACCUCCAUAAGGAUAUAUACAGUCUGCAACAUUGCCACCAUUUGCUACAAUUUAACCGAUUUGUACCCGUUUCUGUCACAUUAAAGAAGUCGUUGAAGCA
Molecule: long non-coding RNA, 2497 nt
Organism: Gambusia affinis (western mosquitofish)
Lineage: Eukaryota; Metazoa; Chordata; Actinopteri; Cyprinodontiformes; Poeciliidae
Exons: 2
Source: RefSeq, a predicted model, not a curated record